CACCUACCCCCAACCCACCACGCACAAACUGCUCGCGCUACUACGAGUUGUCGGGCCGCCACUGGUUGGCGGAGCCGUCUCACCCGCGACCAUCUCUCUUUAGCGCGACCUCCCUGCUCGGGGCGCCUCCACGGCGUCUCAUCUGCAACUCCGCCGAUCUGCAUCUCGCGCCGACUCCGAUGGCCAUGGAACCGCAGCUCGCGCCCCCAACUCUCUGUCUCUAGGCGCCGGAGUUGGUUAUUCGUCUACGGGGAUGAGUUGUAGCUGGACUGGAGUGGCCGCGAAGGGGGGUGGUGCGGAGCAAAGUGGUGGUGCAAGAGGUGUCGUCCUGCGCUCAGCGGCAUGGCCCCGUGCCGCCACGGGUUAAUGGAUCCGCGGGCGCAUCCAGGGCGCCGACGUGCUCCUCGGAUGGUUUGAGGCACUGUCGCGCCUCUCGUUCUCCGGUGCGUCCGUGGGAGGCGACGACGGUGGGGUGCCUCUGCUACUAGUGGUGCUCGAUAUCGAGCGGCGGCGACAGAGAGCUCUUGACACCCGUUCUCAGGCCCUUCUCGGCGGCGAGGAGAGCCGCUCUGGCAUACUGGUGGAGGCACGGUCGAUCUGCUGGCCGACGUUUGGCUUUUCUUCACCUGCAGGACUCUGUCGGAAUAAAAAAAUGUCUGCUGUGCAUUGCUACUUGUGAGCUGCGUUGGGAUUUUCCUAAAAAGGAGAGGAUGAUGCAAUAUAGUAGAGGUAAGUAUUUUCCUCAGUUAAGAACCAAUUACCAAUCCAGUAGGAGAACCACGCAACACCUCAUUAACACCUAUAUACAAAAUAACAAAUACUUGCACCCAAUGCAAAUAAGGGGUUAUCAAUCACUUUGCGGUUAAUUGUAAGGAUCAAAUCUCAUAGUGAUAGAUAGAUAAACAAAAACACACACAAAAAUACGGUAAAUAAAUUACAUUAAGGUAUUUUUGGAUUUUAAGAUAUGAUAAGUAUGGACCUGGGGUCAUAAUUUUCACUAGAGGCUCCUCUCUCGAACAAAAAGCAUACGGUGGGUAAACAAAUUACUGUUCGGCAAUGAUAAAAAAGCGCAUAGUUAUGAUGAUAUUCAAGGCAAUGAUCAUGUAUAUAGGCAUCACGUCUAAAACAAGUAGACCGACUCAUGCCUGCAUCUACUACUAUUACUCCACACGUCGACAGCUAU
This is a long non-coding RNA of Triticum aestivum (bread wheat), 1183 nucleotides long. RefSeq lists it as uncharacterized. The transcript is spliced from 3 exons. The record is from RefSeq and is a predicted model, not a curated record. Lineage: Eukaryota; Viridiplantae; Streptophyta; Magnoliopsida; Poales; Poaceae.